RNAcentral lists this ribosomal RNA (237 nucleotides) under Streptomyces sp. SID14478. Its description in RNAcentral is "partial 23S ribosomal RNA". It matches the Rfam family "Bacterial large subunit ribosomal RNA", at positions 2696 to 2925 of the family's 2925-position model. Lineage: Bacteria; Bacillati; Actinomycetota; Actinomycetes; Kitasatosporales; Streptomycetaceae. The record is from RNAcentral.
GACGGACGAACCUCUGGUGUGCCAGUUGUCCUGCCAAGGGCAUGGCUGGUUGGCUACGUUCGGAAAGGAUAACCGCUGAAAGCAUCUAAGCGGGAAGCCUGCUUCGAGAUGAGGACUCCCACCCCCUUUGAGGGGUUAAGGCUCCCAGUAGACGACUGGGUUGAUAGGCCAGAUCUGGAAGCCCGGUAACGGGUGGAGGUGACUGGUACUAAUAGGUCGAGGGCUUGUCCUCAGUUG